This 253-nucleotide ribosomal RNA is filed under the name uncultured bacterium. Its description in RNAcentral is "partial 16S ribosomal RNA". It matches the Rfam family "Bacterial small subunit ribosomal RNA", at positions 524 to 776 of the family's 1533-position model. The record is from RNAcentral.
UACGUAGGGGGCAAGCGUUGUCCGGAAUCAUUGGGCGUAAAGCGCGCGUAGGCGGCUCGAUCAGUCCGCUGUAAAAGUCCAGGGCUCAACCCUGGAAAGCCGGUGGAUACUGUCGGGCUAGAGUCCGGAAGAGGCGAGUGGAAUUCCUGGUGUAGCGGUGGAAUGCGCAGAUAUCAGGAGGAACACCAGAGGCGAAGGCGGCCCACUGGGCUGCACCUGACGCUGAGCCGCGAAAGCCAGGGGAGCGAACAGG